GAGUUUGAUCUUGGCUCAGAGCGAACGCUGGCGGCAGGCCUAACACAUGCAAGUCGAGCGGCCGUAGCAAUACGGCAGCGGCAGACGGGAGAGUAACACGUGGGAACGCGCCCUUCGGUCCGGGAUAACCCAGGGAAACUUGGGCUAAUACCGGAUACGCCCUUACGGGGAAAGAUUUAUUGCCGAAGGAACGGCCCGCGUCCGAUUAGCUAGUUGGUGAGGUAACGGCUCACCAAGGCGACGAUCGGUAGCUGGUCUGAGAGGAUGACCAGCCUCACUGGGACUGAGACACGGCCCAGACUCCUACGGGAGGCAGCAGUGGGGAAUAUUGGACAAUGGGCGCAAGCCUGAUCCAGCCAUGCCGCGUGGGUGAUGAAGGCCCUAGGGUUGUAAAGCCCUUUCAGCGGGAAGAUAAUGACGGUACCCGCAGAAGAAGCCCCGGCUAACUUCGUGCCAGCCGCCGCAGUAAU
RNAcentral lists this ribosomal RNA (470 nucleotides) under uncultured Alphaproteobacteria bacterium. RNAcentral describes it as "bacterial SSU rRNA". It matches the Rfam family "Bacterial small subunit ribosomal RNA", at positions 9 to 524 of the family's 1533-position model. Lineage: Bacteria; Pseudomonadati; Pseudomonadota; Alphaproteobacteria. The record is from RNAcentral.